UUGGUUGAAACCAAAAAGAGGUGUAUCACUGUUAAUGAUAAUAUUGAAAUUUAAUUUCCAAUCAAG
RNAcentral lists this transfer RNA (66 nucleotides) under Portunus armatus. RNAcentral describes it as "tRNA-Asn". Lineage: Eukaryota; Metazoa; Arthropoda; Malacostraca; Decapoda; Portunidae. The record is from RNAcentral.